RNAcentral lists this ribosomal RNA (405 nucleotides) under uncultured bacterium. Its description in RNAcentral is "partial 16S ribosomal RNA". It matches the Rfam family "Bacterial small subunit ribosomal RNA", at positions 30 to 526 of the family's 1533-position model. The record is from RNAcentral.
AUUGAACGCUGGCGGCAGGCUUAACACAUGCAAGUAGAACGAGUGGCGGACGGGUGAGUAAUGCUUGGGAAUAUAGCUUAUGGCGGGGGAUAACUACGGGAAACUGUAGCUAAUACCGCGUACCAUAGGAUGAGCCCAAGGGGGAUGAGGUAGUUGGUGAGGUAAAGGCUCACCAAGCCGACGAUCUCUAGCUGGUCUGAGAGGAUGACCAGCCACAGUGGGAAUGAGACACGGCCCAGACUCCUACGGGAGGCAGCAGUGGGGAAUAUGGCGCAAUGGGGGCAACCUGACGCAGCCAUGCCGCGUGAAUGAAUAAGGCCUUCGGGUUGUAAAGUUCUUUCGGUAGCGAGGCGUUAACUACAGAAGAAGCACCGGCUAACUCCGUGCCAGCAGCCGCGGUAAUUC